Molecule: ribosomal RNA, 569 nt
Filed under: Limosilactobacillus fermentum
Lineage: Bacteria; Bacillati; Bacillota; Bacilli; Lactobacillales; Lactobacillaceae
Description: bacterial SSU rRNA
Rfam family: Bacterial small subunit ribosomal RNA
Source: RNAcentral
CGCGUUGGCCCAAUUGAUUGACGGUGCUUGCACCUGAUUGAUUUUGGUCGCCAACGAGUGGCGGACGGGUGAGUAACACGUAGGUAACCUGCCCAGAAGCGGGGGACAACAUUUGGAAACAGAUGCUAAUACCGCAUAACAACGUUGUUCGCAUGAACAACGCUUAAAAGAUGGCUUCUCGCUAUCACUUCUGGAUGGACCUGCGGUGCAUUAGCUUGUUGGUGGGGUAACGGCCUACCAAGGCGAUGAUGCAUAGCCGAGUUGAGAGACUGAUCGGCCACAAUGGGACUGAGACACGGCCCAUACUCCUACGGGAGGCAGCAGUAGGGAAUCUUCCACAAUGGGCGCAAGCCUGAUGGAGCAACACCGCGUGAGUGAAGAAGGGUUUCGGCUCGUAAAGCUCUGUUGUUAAAGAAGAACACGUAUGAGAGUAACUGUUCAUACGUUGACGGUAUUUAACCAGAAAGUCACGGCUAACUACGUGCCAGCAGCCGCGGUAAUACGUAGGUGGCAAGCGUUAUCCGGAUUUAUUGGGCGUAAAGAGAGUGCAGGCGGUUUUCUAAGUCUGA